The sequence is a ribosomal RNA, 403 nucleotides long. It matches the Rfam family "Bacterial small subunit ribosomal RNA", at positions 355 to 774 of the family's 1533-position model.
UGGGGAAUAUUGCACAAUGGAGGAAACUCUGAUGCAGCAACGCCGCGUGAAGGAUGAAGGUUUUCGGAUUGUAAACUUCUUUGACGAGGGACGAAUAAUGACGGUACCUCGAAAACAAGCCACGGCUAACUACGUGCCAGCAGCCGCGGUAAUACGUAGGUGGCAAGCGUUGUUCGGAAUUACUGGGUGUAAAGGGCGUGUAGGCGGUUAUGUAAGUCAGAAGUGAAAUACCCGAGCUCAACUCGGGGGCUGCUUUUGAAACUAUGUAACUUGAGUGAUGGAGAGGCAGGCAGAAUUCCCGGUGUAGCGGUGAAAUGCGUAGAUAUCGGGAGGAAUACCGGUGGCGAAGGCGGCCUGCUGGACAUUAACUGACGCUGAGGCGCGAAAGCGUGGGGAGCAAACA